RNAcentral lists this ribosomal RNA (478 nucleotides) under uncultured bacterium. RNAcentral describes it as "partial 16S ribosomal RNA". It matches the Rfam family "Bacterial small subunit ribosomal RNA", at positions 28 to 507 of the family's 1533-position model. The record is from RNAcentral.
GAUGAACGCUAGCGGGAGGCCUAACACAUGCAAGCCGAGCGGUAUUGUUUCUUCGGAAAUGAGAGAGCGGCGUACGGGUGCGUAACACGUGUGCAACCUGCCUUUAUCUGGGGGAUAGCCUUUCGAAAGGAAGAUUAAUACUCCAUAAUAUAUUGAACGGCAUCGUUUAAUAUUGAAAGCUCCGGCGGAUAGAGAUGGGCACGCGCAAGAUUAGCUAGUUGGUGAGGUAACGGCUCACCAAGGCGAUGAUCUUUAGGGGGCCUGAGAGGGUGAUCCCCCACACUGGUACUGAGACACGGACCAGACUCCUACGGGAGGCAGCAGUGAGGAAUAUUGGUCAAUGGGUGCAAGCCUGAACCAGCCAUCCCGCGUGAAGGACGACUGCCCUAUGGGUUGUAAACUUCUUUUGUAUAGGGAUAAACCUACCCUCGAGAGGGUAGCUGAAGGUACUAUACGAAUAAGCACCGGCAACUCCGUG